GCCUGGGUGGCUCAGUCAGUUGAGCAUCCGACUUCGGCUCAGGUGGUAAUCUCGCGGUCCGUGAGUUCGAGCCCCACAUCGGGCU
Molecule: non-coding RNA, 85 nt
Organism: Felis catus (domestic cat)
Lineage: Eukaryota; Metazoa; Chordata; Mammalia; Carnivora; Felidae
Source: Rfam